RNAcentral lists this ribosomal RNA (783 nucleotides) under uncultured bacterium. Its description in RNAcentral is "bacterial SSU rRNA". It matches the Rfam family "Bacterial small subunit ribosomal RNA", at positions 8 to 796 of the family's 1533-position model. The record is from RNAcentral.
AGAGUUUGAUCCUGGCUCAGGACGAACGCUGGCGGCGUGCUUAACACAUGCAAGUCGAACGGUAAGGCCCUUCGGGGUACACGAGUGGCGAACGGGUGAGUAACACGUGGGUAAUCUGCCCUGCACAUCGGGAUAAGCCUGGGAAACUGGGUCUAAUACCGAAUAGGACCACAGGACACAUGUCCUGUGGUGGAAAGCUUUUGCGGUGUGGGAUGGGCCCGCGGCCUAUCAGCUUGUUGGUGGGGUGAUGGCCUACCAAGGCGACGACGGGUAGCCGGCCUGAGAGGGUGUCCGGCCACACUGGGACUGAGAUACGGCCCAGACUCCUACGGGAGGCAGCAGUGGGGAAUAUUGCACAAUGGGCGAAAGCCUGAUGCAGCGACGCCGCGUGGGGGAUGACGGCCUUCGGGUUGUAAACCUCUUUCACCAUCGACGAAGGUCCGGGUUUUCUCGGGCUGACGGUAGGUGGAGAAGAAGCACCGGCCAACUACGUGCCAGCAGCCGCGGUAAUACGUAGGGUGCGAGCGUUGUCCGGAAUUACUGGGCGUAAAGAGCUCGUAGGUGGUUUGUCGCGUUGUUCGUGAAAUCUCACGGCUUAACUGUGAGCGUGCGGGCGAUACGGGCAGACUUGAGUACUGCAGGGGAGACUGGAAUUCCUGGUGUAGCGGUGGAAUGCGCAGAUAUCAGGAGGAACACCGGUGGCGAAGGCGGGUCUCUGGGCAGUAACUGACGCUGAGGAGCGAGAGCGUGGGGAGCGAACAGGAUUAGAUACCCUGGUAGUCC